ACGGGGUGCAGCAGGCGCGAAACCUUCACAAUGCUCGAAAGAGUGAUGAGGGUACUCCGAGUGUCUAUGCUUUGCAUAGUCUUUUCUUCAUCGUAAACAGUUGGAGGAAUAAGGGCUGGGCAAGACCGGUGCCAGCCGCCGCGGUAACACCGGCAGCCCAAGUGGUGACCGUUUUUAUUGGGCCUAAAGCGUUCGUAGCCGGAUAGGCAAGUCUUUGGGUAAAUCCUACGUCUUAAGCGUGGGAAUUCUAAGGAUACUACCUGUCUUGAGGCCGGGAGAGGCUAGAGGUACUUCUGGGGUAGGGGUAAAAUCCUAUAAUCCCAGGGGGACCACCGAUGGCGAAGGCAUCUAGCUGGAACGGGCCUGACGGUGAGGAACGAAACCCAGGGGAGCGAGCCGGAUUAGAUACCCGGGUAGUCCUGGGCGUAAAUGAUGUGGGCUUGGUGUGAGGGCAUCGAUGUGGUGCCCUUGUGCCGUAGGGAAGCCGUUAAGCCCACCGCCUGGGGAGUACGGUCGCAAGGCUGAAACUUAAAGGAAUUGGCGGGGGAGCAC
RNAcentral lists this ribosomal RNA (552 nucleotides) under uncultured archaeon. Its description in RNAcentral is "bacterial SSU rRNA". It matches the Rfam family "Archaeal small subunit ribosomal RNA", at positions 325 to 879 of the family's 1478-position model. The record is from RNAcentral.